Molecule: RNA transcript, 5093 nt
Organism: Felis catus (domestic cat)
Lineage: Eukaryota; Metazoa; Chordata; Mammalia; Carnivora; Felidae
Gene: MPHOSPH8
Gene name: M-phase phosphoprotein 8
Exons: 15
Source: RefSeq, a predicted model, not a curated record
CCGAGUGGAUUACAGCCGAGUGCGGAGCGCGAGGAACCGCCAGGGUGUGUGUCGCAGCCGCUCGCCUUCGGCGGUUUGCUAGGCUCCUAUUAUGGCGGCGGCGGCGGCGGUUGCGGAGGAAGCGAGCGUGACCGCAGCUGUUUCAGGUGCCGACAGCAAUGGUGAGUCUCCUGAAGUCGAAGGAGAAGGUGUUGGAGCAGUGGGCCAAGAGAAGGACGCAGCCACGAAAGGAGCGGAGGCCGUUGGAGACAGCGAGGAGGACGGGGAGGAUGUGUUCGAGGUGGAAAAGAUACUGGACAUGAAGACGGAGGGGGGUAAAAUCCUUUACAAAGUUCGAUGGAAAGGGUACACAUCAGAUGAUGAUACUUGGGAGCCUGAGAUUCAUCUUGAGGACUGUAAAGAAGUUCUUCUCGAAUUUAGGAAGAAAGUUGUGGAGAACAAAGCUAAGCCAGUCAAGAAGGAUAUUCAGAAACUGUCCUUAAAUAAUGACAUAUUUGAGGCAAAUUCUGAUAGUGAUCAGCAAAGUGAGACAAAAGAAGAUACUUCUCCAAAGAAGAAAAAGAAAAAAUUGAGGCAUAGAGAAGAGAAAAGCCCAGAUGAUCUGAAAAAGAAAAAAGCAAAGACUGGGAAACUAAAAGAUAAAUCCAAACCAGACCUGGAGAGCUCUUCUGAAAGUUUAGUUUUUGAUUUAAGGACAAAGAAAAGAAUUUCGGAAGCCAAAGAAGAAAUAAAGGAAUCCAAAAAGCCCAAAAAAGAGGACACAAAAGAAACUAAGGAAUUAAAGAAAGUUAAAAAGGGUGAAGGAAGAGAUUUAAAGGCUAAAAUAAGAGAAGAUUCCAAAGAAAACAGAAAAACAAAAAAAGAGAAAUGUGUUGAAUCUCAGUUGGAAUCUGAAUCAAGUGUACUUAAUGACUCCCCUUCUCAAGAAGAUGACAAUGAAGAUUUUCAUUCUGACAACAGAGAAGAGAAACAGAAGAUUAAAAGUGCAAAAGACAAAGCAGGGCAAGAUGCAAUUCAGGAUGUUUUUGAUAAACAGCCAGAUGGCUCUGUGAGUGCCGAUGAAGAUGCUGAUGUCAAAGCAAAGAGAAAAAGGAAAAAACUGAGAAAGACUGAGGAACUCAGAGAGAGCAAAACACUAGAAAACAGGAACCUUUUCCUAGAGAAGAAACCUAUACAUAAGAAGCAAAGGAGUCAGGACAGAGGCAGAAGCACCACAGAGUUAGAUAAGCUGAUACCUGCACCUGCCCAGACACAGAAGAGUUCAAGAGCAGGUGUGGAAGAGAGAGGCCUCAGGUCUACUGACUCAGCUGGGGAGGAGAAAGAGAUUAAAAAAAAUGAACCCAAAGAAAAAUACCAGAAAAGGCAGGAUUUGGACAAGGAAGAAAAAGGUCGUAAAGAGCCAAAGGGAUUAAAGACAUUUAAGGAAAUCAGAAAUGCAUUUGAUUUAUUUAAAUUAACUCCAGAAGAAAAAAAUGAUUUUCCUGAGACUAAUCGGAAAAGAGAAGAAAUACCACUAGAUAAUAAAAUCACAGAAGAUCACAAAACCAAGGAAAACAAGCAGCUACUUAAAGAAAGGAGAAAUACAAGAGAUGAAACUGAUACUUGGGCUUAUAUAGCUGCAGAAGGUGAUCAAGAGGUUCUGGAUAGUAUGAGCCAAGCAGAUGAGAAUUCUGAUGGCAGACAACAGAUUUUGAGUUUGGGCAUGGACUUGAAGUUGGAGUGGAUGAAAUUAGAAGAUUUUCAAAAGCAUCUUGAUGGGGAAGAUGAAAGUUUUACUACAGCAGAUGCAAUUCCGAGUAAUUUAUUGAGGGAUGCUGUGAAAAAUGGGGAUUACAUUGCUGUGAAGGUUGCACUUAAUUCAAAUGAAGACUAUAACCUGGACCAAGAGGAUUCAAGCGGGAUGACACUGGUGAUGCUCGCCGCAGCCGGAGGGCAAGACGACCUGCUGAGGCUCCUCAUCAGGAAAGGGGCUAAGGUGAAUGGCAGACAGAAGAAUGGGACCACCGCCCUCAUUCACGCAGCCGAGAAGAACUUCCUAACUACAGUGGCUAUUCUUUUGGAAGCAGGAGCUUUUGUAAAUGUCCAGCAGAGUAACGGUGAGACCGCUCUAAUGAAGGCCUGUAAAAGAGGAAAUUCUGAUAUCGUACGACUUGUAAUUGAAUGUGGAGCUGACUGCAAUAUUUUGUCAAAGCACCAAAAUAGUGCCCUGCAUUUUGCGAAGCAGUGUAACAACGUGUUGGUGUACGACUUGCUGAAGAAUCAUUUAGAGACACUUUCAAGAGUAGCAGAAGAAACAAUAAGGGACUACUUUGAGGCACGUCUUGCUCUGUUAGAACCAAUCUUCCCAAUAGCAUGUCACCGUCUCUGUGAGGGGCCAGAUUUUUCAACGGAUUUCAAUUAUAAACCCCCACAGAACAUACCAGAAGGCUCUGGCAUCCUGCUGUUUAUUUUCCAUGCAAACUUUUUGGGUAAAGAAGUAAUUGCUCGGCUCUGUGGACCGUGUAGUGUGCAAGCUGUAGUGUUAAAUGAUAAAUUUCAACUUCCGGUUUUUCUGGACAGCCAUUUUGUUUACUCGUUCAGCCCUGCUACAGGCCUCAAUAAACUCUUCAUAAGGUUGACGGAAGCGCCUUCUGCCAAGGUGAAGUUGCUGAUAGGCGCAUACAGGGUGCAGCUGCAGUGACGGAACAGAGUUGGGACGGAGUCCUUUCCAGACCUGUUUUAGGACCCUGGCACAGCUAACACCUCCAGAUUUGAAGUUUCAUCUGUAAACCUCUUGCAGUUUCGGGCUGGGUAUCUGUUACGGGCUGUAAGAGGGGACGUGGGGUUCUAAUAUAUUCUGAAAUAGAGAUGUAUUUGUGCCAGUGUUCUCAAAUCUCGAUGUUGUCUCCAGACUGCAUACUUCGGUUUUUCCACAAUGUGGAAUGGUAUAUAGAAUUAUUUAAGAAAAUUAAAAGUCUCUUUUCUAACUUGAAAUUUUCUACUAGCCCUGGUGAAUUUCUGCAUUAAAAACAAGUCUGUGUAUGCCAAGCACUAAGUAAGGGGCGAAUUUGCUGGCCUCGAAGGAUGACUUCUCUGACUUGGUAGGCAGGUUCGAGGGAGGCGGUGUGAUGUCUAAUUUGCAGUUGCCACAGGUCCUGAAUUGGAGGUGACAACUUUUUGUAUUUGCAGUUACCCUUUAUUCUGGGAAAAGAUAAAAGAAGAUACGACUCACAAACUAACUUUUAUCCUUGUUCUUAGAAUCCACCAAGUAAUUUUUAAAAAGCAGAUCCUGUGCCCUCGUUACGAAUGCUGGGAAGGCAGCCGAGGUUUGUCCGCCACACUGGGCCUCAUGUGAAGAGCUAUCGUCUCCACAGAUUCCCCACAGCUUUGUUGUUCUUUUGAGAGAGAGGGAGGGGCAGAGAGAUGGAGGGACACUCCCAAGCAGGCUCUGCGCUGACAGACACGGGGGCUCAGACUCACGAACGGUGAGAUCACGACCUGAGCCGAGAUCAAGAGCAGAUGCUUCACUGAGUCCCCCCGGCGCCUCAGCUAUAGCUUCUCUGGAGCCAAAUGAAAAGCACACUUGUCCACUUUGGUUUCUUAAGGAUGAAGGAGACUUGAAUUGUCUUGAGACUCGCACUUGAGAGAGUGGUUUCUUGCUGGUUCUGUGAUGAGGCAGCUAAUAAUUCCAUCAGAUAUUAAUAAUGCUGCUACUUUGAUUAUUCAAAUAAAGUAUGUACAAAGUGUGAGCCUUGGUUUCUCUGGAAAACAAAGCAAUUCUCAAGCGGCAGCUUAACCAAAAGGUUUACAGACCUGCUUAGGUACUGCAGGUCAAAACCAAAGCAAUCUUCUUAGAAAGUAUAUACAACACAGAAUAUAUAACUACACUUUAUCAUCUGGGCCGUGGGUGAUAUCACUAAGUAUAUCAUCACUGAAAAGCACAUAGUCCACAUUUUUACUUCAAUUUUAUCUUAGAAAAAAAUCACCCCUCAGUCUUACUCUUUUCUGGUGCAUAUGGCAGUGAGGACAUCCUAAUUGGAUGACUCAGUGAACUUCUAUAUCAUUCGUAUCUGGCCCACUCUAAUAAGCAUGGCUGUAGCGGAAAACACAUUAUACGGGCUUUUCUCCGCAAUGGUUAGUACCAAAGAGAAACCUCUAAUACCUAACACUAGGCAAAUGUUGGACCACAGUUAGUUUGCUUUCACUCCGAGAAUAGGUCAUUUAGGAUCACUGAUUAGCAAAGACCAAGGAAAAGGAGGAUACAUACGCCAGAAUUGUCAAAAAGUGACUUGUGAAAUAAUUCUGAAAAUGUUAACAUUUCAUACAGUUCAUGUUUCAUAGCCUAAAUACUAUAUAAACUCCUAAAACUGUUGUAAACUUUUUAAACUUUAUUGGCUAAGUAAACGCAGAGAACCAUUCACAGGAUCCAUACGGCUUUCCUCUUCUCUGUGCAGACUUGCAGAUAAAUCUCCUUUCAGACCAAACUGGGAUUUCUAGGCCUCACAUCUACUUCCAAGUAAAGAAAAGUGUUACUAGUAAGCUAAAUCUAAUUACAGUGAGGAGGCACAAAUAAGGACCAAAUUAAAAUCCAGAAAUAGUCCUCUGCCGACAUCCAGAGCCCCCAAGAACCCCAGCUGGAAUCUAACCCUAAUACUGCAUAUCAGUUUAACUUGGAAGAAAUUAAUUUUUCAUUAUUCUACAACACACUAUGUCCCUCAUACUCUUUGCUUUCUUUGGGCUUAAAUAUAUAUACAUGGCUUUAGUAAAACAUGAUUUUUCUCACAACAGUGCCAAAUUUCAUGAGUAGCCCCUUAUCUUGGGGACUGACCCCAAAUUGCAGGCUAGAGGGGAUGCCAAAAAAAAUCCCUCUAACAGUUCCCAUUUAUAGCGAAUUGAAAGGAGAGUUUGUCUGUCAUUCUGUAUUUGUAGGCUACUACCACACUACUUUGCAACAUCAGCCAGCAAGAACUCUUAUAACACCUGAAUGAAAGUGGAAGUUUGCACCAUUCCAGAUAUUUUAACCACGGAAAAUUUGUCCACGAGGCAUAAUGUCAAGUGUUAACGAUUAUUCAUAUGUUGUUUAUAUGGAGUAAUAAAUUCACAAAUGAAAUCUG